This 1084-nucleotide long non-coding RNA is filed under the name Piliocolobus tephrosceles (Ugandan red Colobus). RNAcentral's name for it is "lncRNA (ENSPTEG00000003623.1)". The record is from RNAcentral. Lineage: Eukaryota; Metazoa; Chordata; Mammalia; Primates; Cercopithecidae.
UAACAGCAUUCGAAGUAGUAACAUUAUCAGUCCCUAUUCCAAUAACAUUUAUCUGAACAAUAAACAAAAUAAUUAUACACUGUUUGAAAAAAGCAAGUGUAAUAAUAUAGAUAUUUUAUCAAGUCCUAACUGUAGUUUGGCAUAUACUGAAAACAGCCAUAUAUUAGAAAACGUAAAAAAAAACUAUAAAUUAGUUUUCUUACCAAAUGGUGAUAAACAUAAAAUAAAUUUGGAUACAAGUUUAAGUGAUUUUCAUAAAAAAUAUACAUCAGAAGAUAAUGCAUCAUUUGAAUAUUUAAUUAAAAAUAUGGAAAAACAGAAAUUAGAGAAAAAUUUAUAUUCUUUGAUUAAAAGAGAAAAAUAUAAUGAAAAAAUAAAAAUAAUAGAAGAAUAUACAAAAGAAGGAAAAAAAUGUGAUUUUAUAAAUACAAACAUAGCAGAAGAUGAAAAUAAAUCGAUGCAUUUUUCAUCAAGUUUUAAAAUCAGUAGUAAUAUAGAGAAUGAAAAAAAAAAAAAUAAAAUUAAAAUAUUGUAUGAAAACACUCGAUUUAGUAAUGAAUAUAAUAAAGAUAUAGAAAAUCAGGUUAAUAGAACUGAACAAAUAAAAGAAAUAAAAUUAUUAAACUCUGAAAAAGAAGUUAAAGAAAAUCAAAUGAUUACUCAAGGUAAAUUUAAUUUAUUAAAAGGAAAUGAUAAAUAUGAAUAUUUAAAGACGCCUUUAACACAUGAGAGUGAUAAUAAAAAAGGAAGCGAUGAUAAUUAUAGUAAUAAUAGCGAUAAGGAUCCUUGUGAUAGUAAACAAAUAAAUAAUACUAAUUAUUUGGAUGGUCUAAGUGAUGAUGAAUUUAACUUAUUUUUAAAAAACGAAUUUCGUUUACAACAGUUAAAUAAAAGAGAACAAGCUGCGGAGAAGUUACAAAAUCGAUUAAAAAAUAUGAAAUAUAAUAAAGAACUGUUAAAAAAAAAAAAAAUUAAAUCAUUGAUAAACAAAAAUUAUAGCUCUUUUAUGUCGAGUACAUCAUUUAGAACGUCUGUUUUGUCCAGACAUAGUCAGAAACGACUAAAUGAAUUGGCUUUGAAAUCU